Molecule: long non-coding RNA, 375 nt
Filed under: Equus caballus (horse)
Lineage: Eukaryota; Metazoa; Chordata; Mammalia; Perissodactyla; Equidae
Description: lncRNA (ENSECAG00000059144.1)
Source: RNAcentral
GUUAAGCUUUCCUACCUUCUCCAGUGCCAAUGCCAGCCAACCUGAAAGAGAGGGGGAAGCAGAUGUAAGCAAAGGGCAGAAACUCAGGCCUCUCAAGGGGAGAGCCCAGCGGCUGGCUAAGCGGUCAUCCCCAGCCUGCACACCAUCACCACCCCCACAUGUGACUUCUGUAGAGGCUGGGACAUCCUGAGAGCCCGUCCUGACCGGCCACACUCACCAUUCUUGCAAAAUAAGCAGAGGAACACUUUAGGCAGAGCCCUACAGGGUGUGUCAAUUGCCCCCCUCGGCCCCCACGGGUCCUGACAGGACCAAAUGCCCAGGAUCCCCCCGGCACCGCCAAGUUGAGCAGAUGUCUGCCAGCCUCCACACCUGGAA